Long non-coding RNA from Sphaeramia orbicularis (orbiculate cardinalfish), 158 nucleotides. RefSeq lists it as uncharacterized. The record is from RefSeq and is a predicted model, not a curated record. Lineage: Eukaryota; Metazoa; Chordata; Actinopteri; Kurtiformes; Apogonidae. The transcript has 3 exons.
UUUUGUUCCAGAUUCAAGUUCAACAAAUGGAUAUUUCACCAUAACUUCCAUCAAAAUCAUCAUAUCAACUUCAAACCAAAGCCAAAUUGUGCAUUUUUUUCAUUCUCUAUCUGAUGGUAUGUAUCAUGACAUCAUAAGGGCCAUGGCUUCGUUAGCGC